This is a long non-coding RNA of Zingiber officinale, 2248 nucleotides long. RefSeq lists it as uncharacterized. The record is from RefSeq and is a predicted model, not a curated record. The transcript is spliced from 2 exons. NCBI's taxonomy places the organism in Eukaryota, Viridiplantae, Streptophyta, Magnoliopsida, Zingiberales, Zingiberaceae.
UAUCACAUAUCUAUAACAAAUUUUGAUAUUCAUCACACAUUCUAUAAUCUGUGACGAAUUUUUUGGAUUUGUUGUAAAUUUACGACGAAUUUACUUUCAUGGCAUAAAAAUCCUAAGUUUUUAAUCCACGCGAUCCAUUUUCUCCUUUGCCCUAAUUUUUCUUGGAGGUGGCGGCGCGUGAAGGAGAUUUCAUUGUGGCGAUUUUCGACAAGGUAAGGUCUUCACCUCUCUCUUCUGACUCCGACAAGUCUCCCGACACUCGACCGACGACGACUGGCACUGGCCGACCGCAGGAACCUGUGACUGGCCCUGGCAAGGGAGGAGUCCGAAGCGCAAGAGGGAUUGCUCCUAGCGAGGGACAUCCGGUCAUGAUGUUGUGCGGAAGGCAUUAAUUAUGGUAUCAUCGCUAAAAUCAUUGUUGAAGGAAGUGCGUAGCCUGGGAGACUUGAUGGAGAGAAUGGAGCUCUCUAUGAGCAAAAAGGUUGCAAGGAGGCCCCCAUUAUGAUGAGUCAAGUUUGCAAAGUUAGCAGCAACUGAAACAUUUCAGCUUAAUCAUUGCAUUCACAUUUUACUGCUUAUUGAACUUUGUGUAACGCUCAAUUUAUCCUCACAUGUUGUGGCUUCCCGAUUAGUUUCUCAAAGACCAACAGAUUAUUGGCUUGAUGAAUAAAUUAUCAGCUGCAAUCCUGGUCCUUUGUACCUUGCCUUGGCUGGAACGUUAUGGAAGAAAUUGUAAUGGUUAAUUUAAUCUUGAUGUAAUCAUUGUAUGUAAAGUUUGUAGCUUAGUUAAUAUAUCAUACGUACUUCUUCACGGACUAAAAUAUCAUCAGUGUGUUUCUUUUGAAGUUUGCUAGUGAUUCUUAUAUGUUAAAGAAAUUGUUAUUGCUAAUGACAGAUUUCUGAUUUCAUAUUUCAUUAUUUAGAGCAUAGAUGAAGGAAGACUGAAAAUGAAAGCAAGCUGCCCACUUGUAACUGAUCUCAGGUUGAAGGACAAUGCAAUUAGAAUCUUAAUGAGCUAUAAUCCAAUGUGGCUCUGAGUUGGAUUGCAUAUAAUAUUUGGUGGUGACUCUUUUCUUUCUAAUGAAGAAGGAAAAUCAGAUCAAGAGUUUCUGUUCCUCAGGAUGGUAAUAGAAACACAAUUCUAAGUGAAACUUGCAAGAUCUUUUGUAUAUAAUAAGUUUGUUGAGGGCAUAUAUAAGGAAGGUUAUCAUGAAGCUUUGGGGAGUGUGAUCUUGAAGAGAUUUUUGUUGCUUGUUGUUUCACUUGACAAAGCUAAGUCUGUGUGCACUCUUCCUACUAAAUAUCGGAUUGAUAAUAUUGAUGGUGGUUCUCCUUUGUUGUUUAUUCUUCAUUCCCAUUUAAAAUCAAGUCAGCAAGUUAUCAAUGGUAGGUUUCUGUAAUAGAAAGAGCAGAUAUCACUAAUCAUUAUUUUCUAUUAAGUUAAUGUAGAGAGAUGUUUAUUAUUUCUUCAUUGCUCUGAUUGUUCUUUUUUUCUUUUGAAAAUUUUCAGAGUUUCUAUCAAAAAUAAUGCAUGGAGAAGGUAAUCUUUUAGAGCAUCUUCUCACUCUGGGUUACAAAGUGAAUCACCAGUAGAAUCCAAUUUCAGAAUAUGAGUUUAAUGUGAAAGAUUUAUCCGAAGAAAUUCACGAUGGUAUACUGCUUUCUAGGGUUAUUCAGCUAUUGCAAAAUGAUGCAUCUAUACUAUAAGUAAGACUCUUCAUAUUAGUAACUUGUUAACAGAUAUUUUUGUUCUUCAAAUGUUCAACUAAAAUUCCUUUAUGAUUGACUUUAACAGAAAUUAAUGGUUCCUCCAAACACAAGUAAAAAGAACUUGCAUAUAGUGGUGAUGAAUCUUCUUGUAUGAUUAUUAUUUAUCUCAUAAUUAGUAUUUUUGAAUGUUAAUUAUUUGAUUAUAAAUGUUUCUUUUUUUUUUGUUAAUACUAUUAAUUUGUUUAAAAUAGGAUUGGUCAGACCCAAUGAAAAUCAAUGUCCGAAUAAGUGAAAAUUAUUUUUUUUGUUCAUAUAUAGUAAUUUAUUUCUUGUAAUCAUUGAUAUUGUAUAUUUUUAUUUCGAUGCAGAAAAAAAUGAUAUUGGAAGAAGAUGGAGAAGAUUUAGUGAUGUUUAGAUAUUUGUUGAUGUAUGGAUGGUCUAGAACUUCUUAUGUUGGUUGGAUUGUAUGGAUAUUUUGUGAUAUUUGGAUUUGAUGUAUAAAUUGUGUUUUGAUUUAAUGUAUAGUUUUAUUUUGUUA